Molecule: long non-coding RNA, 2447 nt
Organism: Astatotilapia calliptera (eastern happy)
Lineage: Eukaryota; Metazoa; Chordata; Actinopteri; Cichliformes; Cichlidae
Source: Ensembl
CAAAGUUGUUGUAUUCAUUAAAAGAUAGACAUCACGGGCACCUGACAUAGUAAUAUAUUAAUUUCACUUGAUUUUGAAUGCCGGUUAAACAAAAGGCUGGUUAUUACAAACGAAAUACUUUGAUUUAAUUAGAGAGAGACUUACAUCAUGUUGGCUCAGCAGAGCAGCGUCCAUUAGAGGAUUGUGAGAUUUCUUUAGAAGUCAAAAGAAAAAAAAACAAAACAUCCUGCCUGCAGCCUGAGAAACGUACCAGUGGAACCAGUUUCUGAAGAGCUUGCCAGUAAAUAUACAGUGUGGCAUCACACACAUACACACAGAGUCAGGUAAUCUGAUCUGUCUCCCUUUGUAUUCCCGUGGGAAUGUUUCUGUUUUUCUCUUUGUUUUAAUCACUCCUCUGUCUCUCUUCUAUAGCUUGUAAUUACCUUUUUCUUUCUCCAUGGUUUCUAUUGAAAAUGUUUCAUCACUUCAUCUAUUUAUUUGUCUUUGUAGGCUUUUUAAUUUUAUGCCCAGUUUACAGAUUUCAUCAAAGCACCUCUUUUUCACUAUCUUUAUGCUUGUUUGCAAUUUGCACUUCUUCGUGCAUAUUUUUUUUCUUUUUAUAGUCAAAUUUCUGUUUUUGUUUCUUAGUUUUCUGGCUCCUUCUCUCAUCUUGUUUUUCUUUAAAGUCUUUUCUGUGACCCAGCUUGUCACUCUGCACUCACCUAGGAUAGACUAUAUUGGAUGAGCUGUUAAGUAAAUGGAUGAUUAGUAAUCUUUUUGAUGUGUUUUCUAGUAGCUUUGCUCCUUCUUGAGUAAUUUGUAGUUCAUCCAGUUCAUCCUGCAGACAUAUAUUUUCAUGCUUGUCACUACUGACCAUGUGGUCAUAACAUACUUGAACUCAAACACUUAAGCUCAGUUAUCAGGGUUAGAUUGUCCUGGAUACGACCAUUUACAAAACCUCUAACUAUUUAGUUACAAACUUAAAUGUAACACAAUAACUGUGAUGAUAAUGAAGUCCUGGUCCAUCCUUAAUGUUUUGUGACUCUUAUUUAUUUUGUUCGCCUUCGCAGUGAUUUUGCAUCUUUUAAUACUCGUCUUUGUAGCAUUUUGCCUCUGUUCUGGUUGCUGGUGUGUCUGUGUAGUGAUUUACAGUUUUUGUUUCCUAUUCAGGGUUUUUUUCUGUGUGGAGAUGAUUUUUGUGUGUGUGAAAUCUGUUGUGGUCGUUUUGUGUGUCAUUGUAGCUGUUUUGCAUCUUUUCAUGCUAAUUUUGUGUCUCUUUAUUGUAAUUUUACAAUGUUUCUUUUAUUUUCAUUUUAUAAAUCUUUGUGUUUUUUAUGAUGUUGGAUUUUUAUCUUGGUGUUGGAUAAGCAGAAGAGAAUAGUCAGAUGUGUCUUGUCUUUUUAAUUUAGUAUCUCUUUACAUUUGUUAUUUGUUUGUUGAAUGUUUGCAUCUGUUAAAAGUUAUUUAUCAUCUCUUUAGUGAUUUUUUUCAGUUGUUUUUCUUCUUUCGGAGUACUUUUUUUUAUGGCUUUGCAUAUGUUUUUUUUGCAUUUUUGAUUGCUUUGCUUCGCUUUGUGGUGACUCGAUGCGUCUUUGGGGAGAUUUUGCACAUUUUUAACUGUUGCAUUUCUUUUGCAGUCGGUUUGAUUUUCUUUGUAGUUUUGUGUCUUUGUGUUUUUUUCUCUGUUAUUUUUUUAUGCUUUUAACUUUCAGUUUUGGGUCUCUUUGCAGCGAUUUUGUGCCUUUUUCAUAUCUUCUUUAGUCAUUUUUGCUUGUUCUUGUAGAUGUUUUUCAUGUCUUAUGGCUUUUUUUCUGUAUCAUUAUUGCUUAUUUGGCAUCUUUUCAGUAAUUUCAACAUCUUCUCUUCAUCUCUGUGGUCAGUUUAUUUUUUGUAGUCACUCGACUGACUUUAAAUGAAGAAGCAUUAACUUCAAACAUCAAACAAGCUCUGACCUGCUGCUCCCUGCCCCUACUGUCUGUUUGCUAAUCCAUCCAUAUCUGUAUGUGUUUGUCUGUUUAUAUGUGGCUGUAGAAAUUAAAGCAGAUCAGCCCAGUUUUGGUUCACAGGAGUGACGUACCUACUGUUACUGUUAGCACUCAGGAUGCUAACCUGCAUUUACAGGCCUGGCAGCACACACACACACACACACACACACACAAACACAUACACACUCACACACACAGGCUUGUAUGUGCUUUAAAGCUGAUCAGUUUCUUCCUGCAUUCAUUCAUUCAUUCAGUCCUCCACCUUCAUCCAUCUGCAGUCUGUCCAUCCUCCCCUCUUCCCUCUCUCUCUCCCUAUCAAGAAAACACAGCAUGCUACAGCUGCUGCUGCUGUCAUCCUCACACAUUCCUCCACCCAUCAAUCAUCCAGCCAUCCAUCUGUCCACGCAGUCGUCCGUCUGUCCUUUCAUCUUGGAAAUUAAAGAGAGCACUCACCAUGUUUUCCUCAGACGCAGCCGAUCACUG